Molecule: non-coding RNA, 107 nt
Organism: Otolemur garnettii (small-eared galago)
Lineage: Eukaryota; Metazoa; Chordata; Mammalia; Primates; Galagidae
Source: Rfam
UUGCUUCUUCAGCACAUAUACUGUAAGCACAUGGAACAAUACAGAGAAGAUUAGUGUGGCCCUUGGGCAAGGAUGAUGCACAAAUUCGUGAAGCGUUCCAUAUUUUU